AGCAAUACGGGAGUGGCGCACGGGUGAGUAGCACGUGGGAAUAUGCCCAGCAGUGGGGGAUAACCGAGGGAAACUUCGGCUAAUACCGCAUACGCCCCUAGGGGGAAAGAUUUAUCGCUGUUGGAUUAGCCCGCGUCCGAUUAGCUAGUUGGUGUGGUAACGGCGCACCAAGGCGACGAUCGGUAGCUGGUCUGAGAGGAUGAUCAGCCACACUGGGACUGAGACACGGCCCAGACUCCUACGGGAGGCAGCAGUGGGGAAUAUUGGACAAUGGGGGCAACCCUGAUCCAGCCAUGCCGCGUGAGUGAAGAAGGCCUUAGGGUUGUAAAGCUCUUUCGGCGGGGACGAUGAUGACGGUACCCGCAGAAGAAGCCCCGGCUAACUCCGUGCCAGCAGCCGCGGUAAUACGGAGGGGGCUAGCGUUGUUCGGAAUUACUGGGCGUAAAGCGCGCGCAGGCGGCUAUUCUAG
RNAcentral lists this ribosomal RNA (469 nucleotides) under uncultured Magnetospirillum sp. Its description in RNAcentral is "bacterial SSU rRNA". It matches the Rfam family "Bacterial small subunit ribosomal RNA", at positions 83 to 587 of the family's 1533-position model. The record is from RNAcentral. Lineage: Bacteria; Pseudomonadati; Pseudomonadota; Alphaproteobacteria; Rhodospirillales; Rhodospirillaceae.